RNAcentral lists this transfer RNA (66 nucleotides) under Austruca lactea. RNAcentral describes it as "tRNA-Thr". It matches the Rfam family "tRNA". From Rfam's summary of the family: Transfer RNA (tRNA) molecules are approximately 80 nucleotides in length. Their secondary structure includes four short double-helical elements and three loops (D, anti-codon, and T loops). Lineage: Eukaryota; Metazoa; Arthropoda; Malacostraca; Decapoda; Ocypodidae. The record is from RNAcentral.
GCCUUAAUAGUUUAAAAUAAAACUUUGGUCUUGUAAACCAAUAAUGAAUACAUUAUUCUUAAAGCU